UCAGAGAGAUGGUUUAGGUUUGGUAUUUCUAAAAAUUCCCAGUAUAUUUCAAAAUUGUUACUCCUCCACGCCGCAGGCCGCGCACGGUUACCGACCUAACCCGCACGCCGCCCGACGCCGUCGCCGGCCACCGACCUUGCGCGGGCGUGUGGAGGAAGGAUGACGUACACAGCGAUCGACACGUUCUACCCGCCGGCGGAGCAGCUCCGGGAUUCGCCGUCCCGCCGCGACGGCGUCGACGAGCCCGCCGAGGCCUCCCUCCGCGCCUACGGCUGCCAGCUCGUCCAGGAGGCCGGGAUCCUGCUCCGAGUGUAUCCUCCCCUGAAUCCCUAAACCCGUCCUCCUCCACCGCUUCUCCUGCAAGCAGUCGCUCGCCCGGAUCAGCGUCAAGAGAGUCGCGGCGACGUGCGUCUGGCUAUCGUCGAAGCUGGAGGAGAGCCCCAGGGGAUUGGAGAGCGUCAUCCGCGUGUUCCAUAGGAUCGAAUGCAGGAGGCACGGCGUAGGAUUUUAGUUACCGGCAAAGUGAAAUAACAAAUCCUUGUUUGUUGUCCUGCAGGAAGAACUGGUCACGGAUCUCUCGAGGCUGGAGAGACGCGUGCUCAAGGAAUUGGGCUUGCGCACAACUCUCUGUGUGAGAUUCAAGAGCGAGGUAGUAGCAUGCGGGGUUAUGUACGCUGCGGCCAGGAGAUCCGGAGUUCCCCUUCCAGAAGACCCACCGUGGUGGACGCUAUUUGAUGCUGACGAGGCAGGGAUUCAGGAGGUCUGCAGAGUCAUCGCUCACCUCUACAGCCUUCCUAGCCCACAGUACUUACCAGUUUGAUAGAAGUUCAGCCAUAGCUAGAAUUUUCUGAAUUUUGUAGUUGCUAGAUUGAACACUUGAUAUACCAAUGUCUGAAGCUAUCUUCACGAUAACGAAAUCAGGAUGUGUCACUGCAUCACUCUUCAUGUUGUGUGCCCCAAACAAGUGAAUUUUCAGGAGCAAUGUGUGGGAGAAUGUCAAACCCGUUUUACAGUGGCAGAUAUAUGUUCGUUGAACUGUCUUCAGGGUGAUGAAA
This is an RNA transcript of Lolium perenne, 1055 nucleotides long. RefSeq lists it as uncharacterized. The record is from RefSeq and is a predicted model, not a curated record. NCBI's taxonomy places the organism in Eukaryota, Viridiplantae, Streptophyta, Magnoliopsida, Poales, Poaceae.